UUAAAGUUGUUGUGGUUAAAAAGCUCGUAGUUGAACCUUGGGCCUGGCUGGCCGGUCCGCCUCACCGCGUGUACUGGUCCGGCCGGGCCUUUCCCUCUGUGGAACCCCAUGCCCUUCACUGGGUGUGGCGGGGAAACAGGACUUUUACUGUGAAAAAAUUAGAGUGCUCCAGGCAGGCCUAUGCCCGAAUACAUUAGCAUGGAAUAAUAGAAUAGGACGUGCGGUUCUAUUUUGUUGGUUUCUAGGACCGCCGUAAUGAUUAAUAGGGAUAGUCGGGGGCAUCAGUAUUCAAUCGUCAGAGGUGAAAUUCUUGGAUUGAUUGAAGACUAACUACUGCGAAAGCAUUUGCCAAGGACGUUUUCAUUAAUCAAGAACGAAGGUUAGGGGAUCGAAAACGAUCAGAUACCGUUGUAGUCUUAACAGUAAACUAUGCCGACUAGGGAUCGGUCGAUGUUAUCUUUUUGACUCGAUCGGCACCUUACGAGAAAUCAAAGUUUUUGG
RNAcentral lists this ribosomal RNA (501 nucleotides) under Chaetoceros curvisetus. RNAcentral's name for it is "partial Eukaryotic small subunit ribosomal RNA". It matches the Rfam family "Eukaryotic small subunit ribosomal RNA", at positions 604 to 1110 of the family's 1831-position model. The record is from RNAcentral. Lineage: Eukaryota; Bacillariophyta; Thalassiosirophyceae; Chaetocerotales; Chaetocerotaceae.